UAAUCAUUUGUCUAUUAAUUGUAGACCAGUAUGAAAGGCCACAUGAGAGCCAAACUGUCUCUUGUAAUCAAUCAAUUAAACUGAUCUCCUAGUACAAAAGCUAGAAUAAUCAUAUAAGACCAGAAGACCCUGUGAAGCUUAAACUAACCUGUUAAAUCCACUAACAGCCACUUUCGGUUGGGGCGACCUUGGAACAAAACAAAACUUCCAAAUACCAUGAGCCCGUACCUCAUAUAAAGGCCAACAAGCCACUCUAUGACCCAGUACACUGACAAUUGAACCAAGUUACUCCAGGGAUAACAGCGCUAUCUUCUUCAAGAGCCCAUAUCAAAAAGAAGGUUUACGACCUCGAUGUUGGAUCAGGACACCCCAAUGGUGCAACCGCUAUUAAAGGUU
Molecule: ribosomal RNA, 396 nt
Filed under: Charina bottae
Lineage: Eukaryota; Metazoa; Chordata; Lepidosauria; Squamata; Charinaidae
Description: partial 16S ribosomal RNA
Rfam family: Bacterial large subunit ribosomal RNA
Source: RNAcentral